GGCUUUAGCGCGGUGGUCCCACCUGACCCCAUGCCGAACUCAGAAGUGAAACGCCGUAGCGCCGAUGGUAGUGUGGGGUCUCCCCAUGUGAGAGUAGGGAACUGCCAGGCA
This 111-nucleotide ribosomal RNA is filed under the name Enterobacter hormaechei. Lineage: Bacteria; Pseudomonadati; Pseudomonadota; Gammaproteobacteria; Enterobacterales; Enterobacteriaceae. The record is from RNAcentral.